GGACAAUGGGGGAAACCCUGAUCCAGCCAUCCCGCGUGUGCGAUGAAGGCCUUCGGGUUGUAAAGCACUUUUGGCAGGAAAGAAACGUCAUGGGCUAAUACCCCGUGAAACUGACGGUACCUGCAGAAUAAGCACCGGCUAACUACGUGCCAGCAGCCGCGGUAAUACGUAGGGUGCAAGCGUUAAUCGGAAUUACUGGGCGUAAAGCGUGCGCAGGCGGUUCGGAAAGAAAGAUGUGAAAUCCCAGAGCUUAACUUUGGAACUGCAUUUUUAACUACCGAGCUAGAGUGUGUCAGAGGGAGGUGGAAUUCCGCGUGUAGCAGUGAAAUGCGUAGAUAUGCGGAGGAACACCGAUGGCGAAGGCAGCCUCCUGGGAUAACACUGACGCUCAUGCACGAAAGCGUGGGGAGCAAACAGGAUUAGAUACCCUGGUAGUCCACGCCCUAAACGAUGUCAACUAGCUGUUGGGGCCUUCGGGCCUUGGUAGCGCAGCUAACGCGUGAAGUUGACCGCCUGGGGAGUACGGUCGCAAGAUUAAAACUCAAAGGAAUUGACGGGGACCCGCACAAGCGGUGGAUGAUGUGGAUUAAUUCGAUGCAACGCGAAAAACCUUACCUACCCUUGACAUGUCUGGAAUUCCGAAGAGAUUUGGAAGUGCUCGCAAGAGAACCUGGAA
This 676-nucleotide ribosomal RNA is filed under the name Achromobacter piechaudii. Its description in RNAcentral is "bacterial SSU rRNA". It matches the Rfam family "Bacterial small subunit ribosomal RNA", at positions 366 to 1033 of the family's 1533-position model. The record is from RNAcentral. Lineage: Bacteria; Pseudomonadati; Pseudomonadota; Betaproteobacteria; Burkholderiales; Alcaligenaceae.